GAUGAACGCUGGCGGCGUGCCUAAUACAUGCAAGUCGAGCGAACGGACGAGAAGCUUGCUUCUCUGAUGUUAGCGGCGGACGGGUGAGUAACACGUGGAUAACCUACCUAUAAGACUGGGAUAACUUCGGGAAACCGGAGCUAAUACCGGAUAAUAUUUUGAACCGCAUGGUUCAAAAGUGAAAGACGGUCUUGCUGUCACUUAUAGAUGGAUCCGCGCUGCAUUAGCUAGUUGGUAAGGUAACGGCUUACCAAGGCAACGAUGCAUAGCCGACCUGAGAGGGGGAUCGGCCGCACUGGAACUGAGAGACGGUCCAGACUCCUACGGGAGGCAGCAGUAGGGAAUCUUCCGCAAUGGGCGGAAGCCUGACGGAGCAACGCCGCGUGAGUGAUGAAGGUCUUCGGAUCGUAAAACUCCGUUAUUAGGGAAGAACAUAUGUGUAAGUAACUGUGCACAUCUUGACGGUACCUAAUCAGAAAGCCACGGCUAACUACGUG
This 497-nucleotide ribosomal RNA is filed under the name uncultured bacterium. RNAcentral's name for it is "partial 16S ribosomal RNA". It matches the Rfam family "Bacterial small subunit ribosomal RNA", at positions 28 to 507 of the family's 1533-position model. The record is from RNAcentral.